RNAcentral lists this ribosomal RNA (465 nucleotides) under uncultured bacterium. RNAcentral's name for it is "partial 16S ribosomal RNA". It matches the Rfam family "Bacterial small subunit ribosomal RNA", at positions 338 to 795 of the family's 1533-position model. The record is from RNAcentral.
CCUACGGGUGGCAGCAGUGAGGAAUAUUGCGCAAUGGGCGAAAGCCUGACGCAGCGACGCCGCGUGAGGGAUGAAGGUCUUCGGAGCGUAAACCUCUGUCAGCAGGGAAGAACGGUCACUGUGCUAAUCAGCAGUGAAUUGACGGUACCUGCAAAGGAAGCACCCGCUAACUCCGUGCCAGCAGCCGCGGUCAUACUGAGGGUGCGAGCGUUAAUCGGAAUUACUGGGCGUAAAGCGCUCGUAGGCGGUAUGUCAAGUCACGGGGGAAAUCCCCGCGCUCAACGUGGGAACUGCCUUUGAAACUGGCAAACUGGAGUGUGUGAGAGGAUAGUGGAAUUCCAGGUGUAGGAGUGAAAUCCGUAGAUAUCUGGAGGAACAUCAGUGGCGAAGGCGACUAUCUGGCACAUAACUGACGCUGAGGAGCGAAAGCGUGGGUAGCAAACAGGAUUAGAUACCCUAGUAGUC